AUAAAUUAGUUAGUUUAUAGGGCUGCCUUUCCUUGAGAUUUCAUGGAGGGGUGUGACAACCCACCUCUACUCAAUAUAUGAAGGGAGGGGAUAAGAUUAUAAACAACCCACCUCUGAUGUAAACUACUUCCUCCAUUACAUUUGUUUGUCACUUGGGACAAUUGCACAAAAAUUAAGAAAAUGAUUGAACAAUAUUAAUUAUAAUAAAAAAAAUACACCUUAUGACUAAAUUAUGUCUUUAUUGAAGUGCUCAAAUUAUAACUCUAUUAAUUCUCUCCUUUACUCUAUUAAUAGAGAUUAAGGGUAAAGUUGACAAAAAAAUAAUUAAUACUUUUUUAAUUUUCUAAAGCA
This 351-nucleotide unclassified non-coding RNA is filed under the name Hevea brasiliensis (rubber tree). Lineage: Eukaryota; Viridiplantae; Streptophyta; Magnoliopsida; Malpighiales; Euphorbiaceae. The record is from RNAcentral.